AGUGAAUAGAUACCCGGGUAGUCCUAGCCGUAAACGAUACUCGCUAGGUGUCGGCCACGGUGCGACCGUUGUCGGUGCCGUAGGGAAAGCCGUGAAGCGAGCCACCUGGGAAGUACGGCCGCAAGGCUGAAACUUAAAGGAAUUGGCGGGGGAGCACCACAACGGGUGGAGCUUGCGGUUUAAUUGGAUUCAACGCCGGAAAUCUUACCGGGACCGACAGCAAUGUGAAGGCCAGGCUGAAGACUUUGCCGGAUUAGCUGAGAGGUGGUGCAUGGCCGUCGUCAGUUCGUACUGUGAAAGCAUCCUGUUAAGUCAGGCAACGAGCGAGACCCACGCCCACAGUUGCCAGCGUACUCUCUGGAGUGACGGGUACACUGUGGGGACCGCCGCUGCUAAAGCGGAGGAAGGAAUGGGCAACGGUAGGUCAGUAUGCCCCGAAUAUCCCGGGCUACACGCGAGCUACAAUGGUUGGUACAAUGGGUAUCUACCCCGAAAGGGACGGGAAUCUCCUAAAACCAAUCUUAGUUCGGAUUGAGGGCUGCAACUCGCCCUC
RNAcentral lists this ribosomal RNA (553 nucleotides) under uncultured bacterium. RNAcentral describes it as "bacterial SSU rRNA". It matches the Rfam family "Archaeal small subunit ribosomal RNA", at positions 725 to 1275 of the family's 1478-position model. The record is from RNAcentral.